Molecule: long non-coding RNA, 593 nt
Organism: Chiloscyllium plagiosum (whitespotted bambooshark)
Lineage: Eukaryota; Metazoa; Chordata; Chondrichthyes; Orectolobiformes; Hemiscylliidae
Source: RefSeq, a predicted model, not a curated record
GCUCAGGAUGCAAACAAUCUGCUACACGAGAAAAUAAACGCACGCGACCCAAACUCUCACGGAAAGGUCCACUGCCUUUCUAAAAUCAGACACACUGCUGCACGGAGUACUUAUUUUCUGCAAAGAUCAUGUCCUGUGCCAUCUACGAAUAGAACUACAAGGACAAACAUUCUUUUAAGAUCUCUUUGAGGAAUACAAUCUAUUUUUCUGUUGGGAUGCAUAAGAGAUCAGUUUCAGCUGCUCGCUACUGCUGCCACAGAAGGAUCCAAUUUUUUCCAGAUGUGAAUGUGCCACUUGAGUGAAUAGAAUCAAAAGGUCAAAACAAAAUGCAACAUGCUUUGAGACAGACCGAUCACUACAUACAACCACCAUUUUCUCCACAUUCAGUACUCCAGAGGAGACCAAUUCUAUCCGUAAGCAAAAAAAAAACCUAUUCUCAGCUGUUUCUAUUAAACAAAGCCAGUAAAGUUCAAAUUAUUGUUUGUCUAAUAAUUAGCUUUAAAAAUGGUAACCAUCUGACAUUUAAAAAGCAAAUAUUGUUUCUCCAUGAAAAUGCAUCAUUAAAGAUGAUUUCAUAAGUGAAAUACUGUCAA